GGGGACUUGGCGCAGUGGUAGCGCGUUUGUUUUGCAGCGGUCUCACCGACCCUUCAAACCUACAAAAGGUCAGGGGUUCAAACCCCCUAGUCUCCA
Molecule: non-coding RNA, 96 nt
Organism: Microbotryomycetes sp. JL201
Lineage: Eukaryota; Fungi; Basidiomycota; Microbotryomycetes
Source: the annotation of a GenBank genome assembly